GAUGAAGAACGUAGUGAAAUGCGAUACGUAAUGUGAAUUGCAGAAUUCAGUGAAUCAUCGAAUCUUUGAACGCAUAUUGCGCUCUCUGGUAUUCCGGAGAGCAUGCUUGUUUGAGUAUCAGUAAACACCUCAACUCCCUUUUCUUUUUUGAAAUGGGAGCUGGACUUGAGUGAUCCCAACGCUUUUCUCACCGGAAAGUGGCGGGUUACUUGAAAUGCAGGUGCAGCUGGACUUUUCUCUGAGCUAUAAGCAUAUCUAUUUAGUCUGCCUAAAAACAGAUGAUUACCUUUGCUGCAGCUAACAUAAAGGAGAUUAGUUCUUGUGCUGACUGAUGCAGGAUUCACAGAGACAGCUUCGGCUGACUUUGUAAACUCGAUCUCAAAUCAAGUAAGACUACCCGCUGAACUUAAGCAUAUCAAUAAGCGGAGGA
Molecule: unclassified non-coding RNA, 430 nt
Filed under: soil metagenome
Description: partial contains 5.8S ribosomal RNA, internal transcribed spacer 2, and large subunit ribosomal RNA
Rfam family: 5.8S ribosomal RNA (bases 1-120)
Source: RNAcentral